Molecule: non-coding RNA, 3922 nt
Organism: Triticum urartu
Lineage: Eukaryota; Viridiplantae; Streptophyta; Magnoliopsida; Poales; Poaceae
Source: RefSeq, a predicted model, not a curated record
UCUGUAUGGUUGCCCCGGGAUCGGGUUUGCUAAAGAAAAGGCUAUCAGAUCGGAGCCAAUUCCAGCCCUGUCCUGAUUCAAUCCUUCCAGACCAACCUCUCGACCCUUCUCGUGUCUACAGUACAGAGGAGCCGAAUCAGCGGCGACUCCGGCGUGCUCGUUCUUCCGCCGGCCCUCCUGAGCGUUUCCCUCGCCCCCAGCGGCCCCCAGGGCGGCUGGAGGUUAGGGGGACCUUGGAUCUGGGCGCGGCAUGUAUAUAGGUGCGGGGCGUCGUCCCCAGGUUCGGUUUUCGGCGCCGAUGUAUUGACGGAGCAAUCGUCGGUGCGCCAUCGAAAUAAUGUCCCCCAGCUCUGGCUCCGGCUCGUCGGCGUUGUGGCAGAUGCUGGCGAGGGGCUUGUGGGGUCCUGCCUUUUGGCGCGAUGGUGGUCUGGCUCGUCGGCCUUCUCCAGCGGUGCCGGCUCUUCGCGCAAGGACAAGGGCGGCUUAAUCUGUCAAGGCUGGUGGCUUGUGGGAGGGGGAUCCGGUCAUCUCUUUCGAGCUGAUUUGGCAUCGUCCCCGGAUCCGGUGCAGGAGCAGCUUGGGGAGCGUCCCCGGCAUGGGGAUCGCCUCCGGCCGAUGUCUGAUUUGGUUUUAGAUCCGAUUUGCUGGAAUCGGUGGAUGAUGCGGUUCAUCAACGCCUAUGUGGCAAGGAGCUUCUCCUGCUCCAGGUUUGCUCAAGAUUUGGCAUCUGCUCCGGUGAUUCAUCGUCAACAGGGAUUUGGGGCGCCGAGCAUGCAAUUCCGAGGAAGGUCUCCAUGGACUAUUUUCCCUAUGUAUGGGGCUUUGUUUUCUGGCUGCGACAACACCGCCUGUAUCCUUUGUGUCUUUCUGUAUCUGUAUUCGUACGUGUAUUCGCAUGGCUGUACUGUUUUCCUACUCGUAUGAAUACAAGUAACGUAUGCCUUCGGGUGUACGGUUUCAAAAAAAAAAGAUCGGAGCCAAUUCCGUUCCCCCGCCCUACCCUAGCCGCCGCCUCCUCCUCCUCCUCCUCCAGGGUUCUGCGCGGCGUCGCCUCUGGAUCAGACAUGACGAGGACGGAGUUCUGGGGUAGGGAAGUGAAGCCAGGACAGACUGUUUCUUGUGAUGCCGGUGAUGAGUAUGUUAUUCGAAUCUCACAGGUUGCUCUCGGUGACACAAACAAGAAAAAGGAGGAAGUGGCAAUAUAUGUUAAAGUUGAUCAUUGGCAGAUUGUCACUGGUACACUAAUGGCUAAAAGACAUCCUCAUAUGAUGUGUGAUUUGACUUUUGAGAAAGAAUUUGAGCUCUCACACUCUUCACAGACGUCUAGUGUCUUUUUCUGUGGCUACAAGAAUUACCCCUUCAAGUCCGAUGGUGCUAAAGGUGAAGAAAAAGGCAAGCAUAAGGGAAAAGCUCCUGCAAAGCUUGAUGCUAAGAUGGAUAAAAGUUGGGAUGACGACCUCCCUUCCUCUGGUGAUAUGGACACAUAUGAGGAUAGUACCUCAUCUACUGAUAAUUUGACUAUACCGUCUUACAGUGAUGAAGACAUUCCGGAGGAUGUUUCUUUUACUGAUCAGGAUGUGUCCCUUAGUCAAACGCAUGAACUUGAAACAUCUGAGAAGAGCGCAGGCGAAAGUUUUUUUUUGAAAUGGUCACCGGGGGGGAAAGGCUCCCCACCUGAAUAUAUUUCAAAAGGUAGCAGAUGUUACAAGGUUCACAGAUGGUUCGAGGAGAGGAACUCACGCCACAAGCCGGUGUGGCCUUUUAAGGAGUCAGUCUUAAGCCUAUGAGACCAAAUAACCAAUUCCUCUAAGAUAGCUUUUACAGAAACUGAGGCAGCAAGGUCAAGUCCUUGGAAAACUUUCUUAUUUCUAGCAUCCCAAAUUUUCCAUAAAAUAAGAAGGAGCAUGAACGUGCGCACUGAAGUGGGUAGCUGAGCGGGGAGGGGGGAGCUGAAGAGCUCGCUGAAGGGCGCGGCAGUAGGCUGAAUGCCCGUGGCCCUCCAAAUCGCACGAGCAGCUGGACAGGAGAAAAAAAGAUGAUCGCGGUCCUCCACCAAGUGAUCGCAUCUCGGACAGACUUCGGUAUCGAGGAUGUUCUUUUUGUGCAGGUUGUGCCGUGUGUUGAGACGGUCCAGGUAAAACAACCAGCCAAAGAUCAUCACGUUUUUUGGCACCUUGGAAUCCCAGAUAUCAGCGAGCAUAGGCUCAACAAGCUGAACCGAGAGGGCAGCAUAGACACCGCGAGUGGAGAAGGCAGCGCCAGUGGAGAAGGCAGCGCCAUUGCACUGUGAAAUCUCUCUCAAACUAUGAAGGUGUUUAAAUAUGGUUUUGGCAAGGAAGGAACUGUUCUUUCCGUGGCCAAUAUGAAGGGUGAAUGGUGAAGGACCCAAUCCUUCCAAGGGAGGUUAGAAGAGAGUAAAAACUUGUAGGCAAAUUUCAGCAGUAAGCAAAAGUUUUGUACGCGAAGGUUUUUAACACCCAGACCACCGGCAACUCUAGGGGAGCAGACUUUAUCCCAGGCAACCAGGCAUUUAGCCCCGGAGCAUGUGUCAUCGUUGGACCAGAAAAAAGUACGUCUACGUUUAUCAAUCGCUUCAAUAACCUUGAUGGGGAGGGAGAAGCAAAGCAUAAAGUAGGCAGGGAGACUGUCCAGGACCGCAGAAAGAAGAACAAGUUUUCCUCCACGAGAGAGAAGGAGCGCACACCACCCAGCAAGAUAGGCAUCGCAUCGGUCGCUAACCGGUUGGAAGGCGGACGGAGGGAGCUUGUAGGGGGAGAGUGGAAGGCCGAGGUACGUUUGAGGGAACGAGGAGAUGUUGGUCUCUAGAUCUGAGGCCAUAGCAGAGGCGUCAGCAGGGUCGACAUUGAGAGGGAUGAAGGUUGUCUUAGUGAAGUUAAUCUGGAGGCCGGUGGCCUCAGCAAAACCAUCCAGGAUGGCCUUUAAAUUCUUAGCCGCGUCGGGAGUGGCUUUGGCUAUAAUGAGCGUGUCGUCCGCAUACUGGAGAACCGGGCAGGGGAGGUUAGGGCAGAGUGGGUGCAGAAGUUUACCCUCACGGAAGGCUUUUAGGAUCAUUUGUUGAAGGAUAUCAGCAACAAUGAUGAACAGAUACGGAGAGAGAGGAUCACCUUGCCGGAGGCCAUUUUUGCAUUGGAUCCAUCUUCCGGGGAUGCCAUUGAGCAUCACUGCGGUAGACCCAGUGGUAAGCAACGAUUCGAUCCAAUCACACCACCGAGGGGGGAACCCUCUAACCCGCAGGAUGCGGAGGAGGGAGGACCAGCAGACAGAGUCAAAAACUUUCCUAAAGUCAAGCUUGACAAUGAGGGAAGGGGCUUUCCUCUUUGCACAGCAAUGAAGGAUAUCUGCAGCGUAAAGGAAGUUCUCGGAGAGAUUGCGGCCUGAGAGGAAGCCCGUUUGGUCAGCAUGGACGAGGAGAGGAAUGAGGUGCUUUAGUCGGUUAGUAAGAAGCUUUGCAACCCCUUUGAUCGGGCAGUUCUGAAGAGAGAUGGGGCGGAAAUCAGCAGGUGAUCUGGCCUCCUGAUGCUUUGGUAGAAGGAUAAUGAGAGCCCGAUUUAAGCACGAGAUAUCACUUGUUUGGGAAUGGAACUCCAGGAAAAAUAGCCGAAUUUUUUUUUAGGAUGGGCCAGAAUUUCCUAUAGAAGCCGAAUUUUUUCUUUUAGGAUGGGCCAGAAUUUUCUAUAGAAGCCAGGAUGGGCCAAAAUUUUUUCUUGUCUUGAUAUCUACUUCAGUUAAGGCAAAGGUAGCUCGAUCUGGCAAGAAAUCAGGUGACAAGAUGGCUAGUCAUGUGGCAACACCUAACCAACGACAGAAGUCCAGCAAGGUGUCUGCAAAUAGCAAGUCGAAGGAUAGCAAAUCCACAGGCAACCUUUUCUGCGAGCCAUGCAACAGGACAUUUGUCCAUGAC